Mastomys coucha (southern multimammate mouse) is the source of this 432-nucleotide long non-coding RNA. RefSeq lists it as uncharacterized. Lineage: Eukaryota; Metazoa; Chordata; Mammalia; Rodentia; Muridae. The transcript is spliced from 3 exons. The record is from RefSeq and is a predicted model, not a curated record.
AGCACCAUAGCCUCAGGUGUCAGCAUAGGCCACUCAGGUCAGAAUGACUGCUGGUGGCAGCAUGACCCAUGGGUAUCAACAUGGCUUUGGACAGCAUCAGAGACCUUGGACAUCUGUAUGACCUUCAGUGGAGACUUUCAGUUCUUGCAUUCAGACACAAUAAAGACUCUGGACUCCAGCCCUGGUGGAUGUGUCUGCUUUGAUGGAGGCUUUAACUUGAAUGGUGCUUUGGAGAAUGAGACUCAAAGCCAUAAUUACUUUACACAUAGGAUCUCUUACAGAUUCCAGGUCAGAAUCCAGGAGGGAACCUGACUGCAAAGCUGAUUCAAGGACCCUGAAACCAGGUGAUCUAGAGAAGGCCCUGUCACCAAGGUUGACUUCCUUGCUUAACAGCUUGUAUCAAAUUAUGACUGGUCAAUGCAGCAGCCCACU